AUGUGAGACCAUCCUGAGCUGUUCCUAUUAUUUGUAAGAAAGCAGUGAUAUUUUCGUAUGCUUCUCUAUGGAAAUGGAUUUAUUUAGAAUUUUCUUCUUUUUUGGUUUGGUUUCUGUCAGUCAGAAAUCCAGUGGCAGCUUAGCUGGGACCUCCAAUUUAGUGUCUUUCAUGAGGCUGCAAUCAAGGUGUCAUCAAGAGAUGGAGUCUCAUCUGAAGGCUCCACAGUUCCCUAUAAGAAUGUUUGCCUUCUAUUAAAGGCUCACCAGUA
This 269-nucleotide long non-coding RNA is filed under the name Homo sapiens (human). RNAcentral's name for it is "HSALNT0086034". The record is from RNAcentral. Lineage: Eukaryota; Metazoa; Chordata; Mammalia; Primates; Hominidae.